This 385-nucleotide transfer-messenger RNA is filed under the name Novosphingobium flavum. It matches the Rfam family "Alphaproteobacteria transfer-messenger RNA". Rfam says of the family: Bacterial tmRNA, also known as 10Sa RNA or SsrA, is named for its dual tRNA and mRNA-like properties. The record is from RNAcentral. Lineage: Bacteria; Pseudomonadati; Pseudomonadota; Alphaproteobacteria; Sphingomonadales; Sphingomonadaceae.
CCCCUUUUCAUUUGCGGCGCCAUCCCUAUAUAGGCCCUCGCCGGUUCAGGCCGGCUAUGGUGAUAAACUGCGGCGUGGAAUAGGCGCAGCGGACCCGGGGGCGGUACCCGGCGGCUCCACCAUCACUCCCGCUUUCGGGCGAGGGUUUUGACGGGGCCGAACUAGGAUCGACGUGUGUUCAAAGACGCUGUUUUUGCCCGGGCUGAGUAACCCGUAAAAGGCUCAAAACCAAACAAGUGCCAACGACAACGACGCACUUGCUCUUGCCGCGUAAUUCUAGGGCCUAACGGCCUGAAGUUACAAAGCCAGAACGCGGUUGAACCCACCGGGCAACAGAAGGGAAUUCAGCGGUACGGGGGGCACCGGGCAACAGAAGCCCCCCACU